GUGGGAGGGGGCUUGCUCCCGAUGGCGGUGGUUCAGUCAGAACAUUUUUGACUGAUACACCGCCAUCGGGGGCAAGCCCCCUCCCAC
This 87-nucleotide unclassified non-coding RNA is filed under the name Pseudomonas orientalis. Lineage: Bacteria; Pseudomonadati; Pseudomonadota; Gammaproteobacteria; Pseudomonadales; Pseudomonadaceae. The record is from RNAcentral.